Molecule: long non-coding RNA, 453 nt
Organism: Oenanthe melanoleuca
Lineage: Eukaryota; Metazoa; Chordata; Aves; Passeriformes; Muscicapidae
Exons: 3
Source: RefSeq, a predicted model, not a curated record
UGUUGUUGUGGUGUUUUGUUUUUGUGUGUCCAUGUAGGGAUACAUAAUUGUCCAUCUUCUGGCAUAGAAGAACCACAGAAGUCCACAGUUCUGGAGUGAGGAAUUAUCAUAUAUUGUCACCAAAACUAACCAAGUAUUGACAGACAAAGUUUUAAAACACCAUGUAUUUUAUUACUCACUGAGACUGGCAGGAAUAUCUGUUCUGGUAUAGAAUAAAGGACUAUGUUCCUCUUCCCAGCCUUCCCUCCCUUGUUCUCUCUACAGAGGCACACAUUCCACAAUGAGAUGAACUGCAGAGAAAGUUCAAAGAAAGUUCUCUGGAUGUCAAAGAUCAUGAUGCUCUCUUGCAGCAGUCCCUUUGCUGUCUGUUUUUGAUACAGUCAAGAGAAAGAAAAUUGGAGUGGAGAGGAUAGAGUGGUGUGGGGUGUUCUCCUUCUGGCAAUAUCAGCACCA